CCUACGGUGGGCAGCAGUGAGGAAUAUUGGUCAAUGGGCGCGAGCCUGAACCAGCCAAGUAGCGUGAAGGAUGACUGCCCUACGGGUUGAAAACUUCUUUUAUAAAGGAAUAAAGUGAGGCACGUGUGCCUUUUUGUAUGUACUUUAUGAAUAAGGACCGGCUAACUCCGUGCCAGCAGCCGCGGUAAUACGGAGGAGCCGAGCGUUAUCCGGCUUUAUUGGGUUUAAAGGGAGCGUAGAGGGGUUGGUAAGGCAGUUGUGAAAGUUUGCGGCUCAACCGUAAAAUUUCAAUUGAGACUGGCAGCCUUGAGUACAGUUGAGGUAGGCGGAAUGCGUGGUGUAGCGGUGAAAUGCUUAGAUAUCACGAAGAACUCCGAUUGCGAAGGCAGCUUACUAAACUGCCACUGACAUUGAUGCUCGAAAGUGUGGGUAUCAAACAGGAUUAGAUACCCUUGUAGUC
Molecule: ribosomal RNA, 460 nt
Filed under: uncultured bacterium
Lineage: Bacteria
Description: partial 16S ribosomal RNA
Rfam family: Bacterial small subunit ribosomal RNA
Source: RNAcentral